Molecule: ribosomal RNA, 2931 nt
Filed under: Escherichia coli
Lineage: Bacteria; Pseudomonadati; Pseudomonadota; Gammaproteobacteria; Enterobacterales; Enterobacteriaceae
Description: 23S ribosomal RNA
Rfam family: Bacterial large subunit ribosomal RNA
Source: RNAcentral
GGGUUGUGAGGUUAAGCGACUAAGCGUACACGGUGGAUGCCCUGGCAGUCAGAGGCGAUGAAGGACGUGCUAAUCUGCGAUAAGCGUCGGUAAGGUGAUAUGAACCGUUAUAACCGGCGAUUUCCGAAUGGGGAAACCCAGUGUGAUUCGUCACACUAUCAUUAACUGAAUCCAUAGGUUAAUGAGGCGAACCGGGGGAACUGAAACAUCUAAGUACCCCGAGGAAAAGAAAUCAACCGAGAUUCCCCCAGUAGCGGCGAGCGAACGGGGAGGAGCCCAGAGCCUGAAUCAGUGUGUGUGUUAGUGGAAGCGUCUGGAAAGGCGCGCGAUACAGGGUGACAGCCCCGUACACAAAAAUGCACAUACUGUGAGCUCGAUGAGUAGGGCGGGACACGUGGUAUCCUGUCUGAAUAUGGGGGGACCAUCCUCCAAGGCUAAAUACUCCUGACUGACCGAUAGUGAACCAGUACCGUGAGGGAAAGGCGAAAAGAACCCCGGCGAGGGGAGUGAAAAAGAACCUGAAACCGUGUACGUACAAGCAGUGGGAGCCUCUUAAUGGGGUGACUGCGUACCUUUUGUAUAAUGGGUCAGCGACUUAUAUUCUGUAGCAAGGUUAACCGAAUAGGGGAGCCGAAGGGAAACCGAGUCUUAACUGGGCGUUAAGUUGCAGGGUAUAGACCCGAAACCCGGUGAUCUAGCCAUGGGCAGGUUGAAGGUUGGGUAACACUAACUGGAGGACCGAACCGACUAAUGUUGAAAAAUUAGCGGAUGACUUGUGGCUGGGGGUGAAAGGCCAAUCAAACCGGGAGAUAGCUGGUUCUCCCCGAAAGCUAUUUAGGUAGCGCCUCGUGAAUUCAUCUCCGGGGGUAGAGCACUGUUUCGGCAAGGGGGUCAUCCCGACUUACCAACCCGAUGCAAACUGCGAAUACCGGAGAAUGUUAUCACGGGAGACACACGGCGGGUGCUAACGUCCGUCGUGAAGAGGGAAACAACCCAGACCGCCAGCUAAGGUCCCAAAGUCAUGGUUAAGUGGGAAACGAUGUGGGAAGGCCCAGACAGCCAGGAUGUUGGCUUAGAAGCAGCCAUCAUUUAAAGAAAGCGUAAUAGCUCACUGGUCGAGUCGGCCUGCGCGGAAGAUGUAACGGGGCUAAACCAUGCACCGAAGCUGCGGCAGCGACACUAUGUGUUGUUGGGUAGGGGAGCGUUCUGUAAGCCUGUGAAGGUGUACUGUGAGGUAUGCUGGAGGUAUCAGAAGUGCGAAUGCUGACAUAAGUAACGAUAAAGCGGGUGAAAAGCCCGCUCGCCGGAAGACCAAGGGUUCCUGUCCAACGUUAAUCGGGGCAGGGUGAGUCGACCCCUAAGGCGAGGCCGAAAGGCGUAGUCGAUGGGAAACAGGUUAAUAUUCCUGUACUUGGUGUUACUGCGAAGGGGGGACGGAGAAGGCUAUGUUGGCCGGGCGACGGUUGUCCCGGUUUAAGCGUGUAGGCUGGUUUUCCAGGCAAAUCCGGAAAACUAAGGCUGAGGCGUGAUGACGAGGCACUACGGUGCUGAAGCAACAAAUGCCCUGCUUCCAGGAAAAGCCUCUAAGCAUCAGGUAACAUCAAAUCGUACCCCAAACCGACACAGGUGGUCAGGUAGAGAAUACCAAGGCGCUUGAGAGAACUCGGGUGAAGGAACUAGGCAAAAUGGUGCCGUAACUUCGGGAGAAGGCACGCUGAUAUGUAGGUGAAGUCCCUCGCGGAUGGAGCUGAAAUCAGUCGAAGAUACCAGCUGGCUGCAACUGUUUAUUAAAAACACAGCACUGUGCAAACACGAAAGUGGACGUAUACGGUGUGACGCCUGCCCGGUGCCGGAAGGUUAAUUGAUGGGGUUAGCGGUAACGCGAAGCUCUUGAUCGAAGCCCCGGUAAACGGCGGCCGUAACUAUAACGGUCCUAAGGUAGCGAAAUUCCUUGUCGGGUAAGUUCCGACCUGCACGAAUGGCGUAAUGAUGGCCAGGCUGUCUCCACCCGAGACUCAGUGAAAUUGAACUCGCUGUGAAGAUGCAGUGUACCCGCGGCAAGACGGAAAGACCCCGUGAACCUUUACUAUAGCUUGACACUGAACAUUGAGCCUUGAUGUGUAGGAUAGGUGGGAGGCUUUGAAGUGUGGACGCCAGUCUGCAUGGAGCCGGCCUUGAAAUACCACCCUUUAAUGUUUGAUGUUCUAACGUUGGCCCCUGAUCGGGGUUGCGGACAGUGUCUGGUGGGUAGUUUGACUGGGGCGGUCUCCUCCUAAAGAGUAACGGAGGAGCACGAAGGUUGGCUAAUCCUGGUCGGACAUCAGGAGGUUAGUGCAAUGGCAUAAGCCAGCUUGACUGCGAGCGUGACGGCGCGAGCAGGUGCGAAAGCAGGUCAUAGUGAUCCGGUGGUUCUGAAUGGAAGGGCCAUCGCUCAACGGAUAAAAGGUACUCCGGGGAUAACAGGCUGAUACCGCCCAAGAGUUCAUAUCGACGGCGGUGUUUGGCACCUCGAUGUCGGCUCAUCACAUCCUGGGGCUGAAGUAGGUCCCAAGGGUAUGGCUGUUCGCCAUUUAAAGUGGUACGCGAGCUGGGUUUAGAACGUCGUGAGACAGUUCGGUCCCUAUCUGCCGUGGGCGCUGGAGAACUGAGGGGGGCUGCUCCUAGUACGAGAGGACCGGAGUGGACGCAUCACUGGUGUUCGGGUUGUCAUGCCAAUGGCACUGCCCGGUAGCUAAAUGCGGAAGAGAUAAGUGCUGAAAGCAUCUAAGCACGAAACUUGCCCCGAGAUGAGUUCUCCCUGACUCCUUGAGAGUCCUGAAGGAACGUUGAAGACGACGACGUUGAUAGGCCGGGUGUGUAAGCGCAGCGAUGCGUUGAGCUAACCGGUACUAAUGAACCGUGAGGCUUAACCUUACAACGCCGAAGGUGUUU